AGGAAUGUGGCUUAGUGGUAAAGUGCUUGCCUAGCACGCAUGAAGCCCUGGGUUCCAUUCCUC
Molecule: transfer RNA, 63 nt
Filed under: Dipodomys ordii (Ord's kangaroo rat)
Lineage: Eukaryota; Metazoa; Chordata; Mammalia; Rodentia; Heteromyidae
Rfam family: tRNA
About the family: Transfer RNA (tRNA) molecules are approximately 80 nucleotides in length.
Source: Rfam by way of RNAcentral